CUCGGCAAGUCGCUCAAGGGCCACAUAGCCGCCACCACGAGCUCGGCCGGCUCCGAGGGCUCUUUCCUCACGCCGCUCCUGAAGCGCACGGCCUCCACGAAGAGCGCCCUGAAGCGAGCUCCCUCCGUGGUCAUCAUCGAAAAGGGGAAGGUGCUGCAGAAGAGAAAGGAGUGGGAGAUGAAGUCUGCCAUGUGACCAGCCCCUGGUGCCAGUGCCGCGUCCCCAAGGGCAGGAUCCGCCACGCACACGUACCCUGCCGGUCUGGGCGUCUCUCAGCACAACAUUAACGCUGCACGUGGAUCGUGCAGGACCAACUUGGUAUCUGUUUUCUAACCAUUGGUAUCAAAUGCUAUAAC
Non-coding RNA from Struthio camelus australis, 356 nucleotides. Lineage: Eukaryota; Metazoa; Chordata; Aves; Struthioniformes; Struthionidae. The record is from RefSeq and is a predicted model, not a curated record.